GAAGCACCGGCUAACUCUGUGCCAGCAGCCGCGGUAAUACAGAGGGUGCAAGCGUUAUUCGGAAUUACUGGGCGUAAAGCGCGCGUAGGCGGAUUGUUAAGUCAGUUGUGAAAGCCCUGGGCUCAACCUGGGAACUGCAUCUGAUACUGGCAGUCUAGAAUUUAGUAGAGGGAAGGGGAAUUCCAGGUGUAGCUGUGAAAUGCGUAGAUAUCUGGAGGAACAUCAGUGGCGAAGGCGCCUUCCUGGACUAAAAUUGACGCUGAGGUGCGAAAGCGUGGGUAGCAAACGGGAUUAGAUACCCCGGUAGUCCACGCCGUAAACGAUGUCAACUAGCUGUUGGCCUUAUUAA
Molecule: ribosomal RNA, 349 nt
Filed under: Thiomicrorhabdus marina
Lineage: Bacteria; Pseudomonadati; Pseudomonadota; Gammaproteobacteria; Thiotrichales; Piscirickettsiaceae
Description: bacterial SSU rRNA
Rfam family: Bacterial small subunit ribosomal RNA
Source: RNAcentral